GGGUGUAGCUCAGUGGUAGAGCACUUGCUUAGUAUGUAGGAGACCCGGGGUUCAAUCCCCAGCACAGCCG
RNAcentral lists this transfer RNA (70 nucleotides) under Marmota monax (woodchuck). It matches the Rfam family "tRNA". From Rfam's summary of the family: Transfer RNA (tRNA) molecules are approximately 80 nucleotides in length. Their secondary structure includes four short double-helical elements and three loops (D, anti-codon, and T loops). Further hydrogen bonds mediate the characteristic L-shaped molecular structure. tRNAs have two regions of fundamental functional importance: the anti-codon, which is responsible for specific mRNA codon recognition, and the 3' end, to which the tRNAs corresponding amino acid is attached (by aminoacyl-tRNA synthetases). tRNAs cope with the degeneracy of the genetic code in two manners: having more than one tRNA (with a specific anti-codon) for a particular amino acid; and 'wobble' base-pairing, i.e. permitting non-standard base-pairing at the 3rd anti-codon position. The record is from Rfam by way of RNAcentral. Lineage: Eukaryota; Metazoa; Chordata; Mammalia; Rodentia; Sciuridae.